AAGCGGGUGAAACGUGGUCGAAGCUGACUUUUAAUCAGCGGGUCGCAGGUUCAAGUCCUGCCGGGCUCACCA
RNAcentral lists this transfer RNA (72 nucleotides) under Rhodospirillaceae bacterium. RNAcentral's name for it is "tRNA-Leu". It matches the Rfam family "tRNA", at positions 13 to 71 of the family's 71-position model. Rfam says of the family: Transfer RNA (tRNA) molecules are approximately 80 nucleotides in length. Their secondary structure includes four short double-helical elements and three loops (D, anti-codon, and T loops). Further hydrogen bonds mediate the characteristic L-shaped molecular structure. tRNAs have two regions of fundamental functional importance: the anti-codon, which is responsible for specific mRNA codon recognition, and the 3' end, to which the tRNAs corresponding amino acid is attached (by aminoacyl-tRNA synthetases). tRNAs cope with the degeneracy of the genetic code in two manners: having more than one tRNA (with a specific anti-codon) for a particular amino acid; and 'wobble' base-pairing, i.e. permitting non-standard base-pairing at the 3rd anti-codon position. Lineage: Bacteria; Pseudomonadati; Pseudomonadota; Alphaproteobacteria; Rhodospirillales; Rhodospirillaceae. The record is from RNAcentral.